Molecule: long non-coding RNA, 229 nt
Filed under: Homo sapiens (human)
Lineage: Eukaryota; Metazoa; Chordata; Mammalia; Primates; Hominidae
Description: non-protein coding LINC01481:22
Source: RNAcentral
CCCCCCCUUUAAAUAUCCUUGUCCAUAUAUUGAAUCUCUCUAAUACUCAUCACCUUUGGAAUUGAUCAUGGCAGUAUUAAAGGCACUUCUAUUCUGAACUGAACAUUAAAGAUGCUAUUACCCCUCCAGUGCUUUUGUGGGUCACUAUCAUCUAUAAAAAAUAUCCUAAAAGGAGAAGCCAAAUAAAUGAGGUAAUCAGUGGAAAGAAUAUAAGAUCCUUGGAAUCUAA